This is a long non-coding RNA of Dromaius novaehollandiae (emu), 1830 nucleotides long. RefSeq lists it as uncharacterized. The record is from RefSeq and is a predicted model, not a curated record. The transcript has 2 exons. Lineage: Eukaryota; Metazoa; Chordata; Aves; Casuariiformes; Dromaiidae.
GAGCAAAAAAUGGGUCCCCAGCCACAUACAAUAGGCAGUGCAUGCUGUGUUUCAUUCUUCUUUUAGAGAGUGUGAAAUGCAAGACGCAGAACGGGUACUAUCUGGAGUCAAACUUGUUCAAAAAGGUGACACAGGCAGACAUGCUCUGAGGAUCUCAGCGGUGUGACUGAAGGAGCUGCCUCCGCUCGUACCCAGCAGUGCUCCUCCCAUGGCAGCUACCGCCCCUGCACAUUUGAGAGGCCACAACCGGUGACGUGGCUGCAUCGGGGCCUCACUGCCACUGCGUUUUGGGCAACAAGCACACACACCUAAUUAGCACAGAUGGCCUCGGCCGACUAGAUACAGCUAAUGAAAAUAUGGGAGUACGUUUACCCAACCCAAAUAUUAGACUGGAAGAAUACGCUCCCGAAGCUCUUAUGUUAAGUACAGGGGGAGCUUAGAUGGGUGAAUCCAAACCCUGGUCUGCUUCCGUGCAAAACCAGAUGAACUUAAAUGUUUUGAAAAGUUGGGUAAAAGCCAUGAAAGGUCUUCCACAUUUGAAUCUUAAGAAGUUGAGAGAUAUGGCCAUGCUCUUUAGAUAAAUGUGGAAGGGCCAGUAUAAAACACUUUUUAGAAAUCCUGAAUAUAGCAAUCGAUCACACAGGACACACCUCACAGACCGGUCCUAAUACACCUCUCUUUUCAUGCAUCACCUUCCAUUUUUAAGAGUGCUAUCUAUUACUCAGCAUAAAGAAAGAAAGGCAGACACAUGCUAGGGCAAAUUAGAAAAAAGUUCAUGACCAAUAAAAUUAAUAAAUAGAAUUUUUAAAAUGACAUUUUGAAAAUAGUGCAGUGCAAAAGAUAUAAUGCUCUGCCAUCUUGUUCUCUGGGCACUGUGCAUUACAACAAAAUGACAGGUUUAAAUUUCCUCACCAGUAAACAGUGAAACAUAUUAUGUGAAAGGACAUAGAUUAAAAUCUUUGCCUUCACAAAGCAGGUAUCUUUGAUACUCUGCAUGGAAAGUACUGACUGCUCAGAGAAGGCUACUCCAUUUUCUCACUGUGAAAGAGUUCAGUAAACCCUUAUUUCUGAAUUAAAAACUUGUUUUACAUUUGUCAGUCUAAUUACAAUUUAAUCAUACUCUGUUUGUCCCUUGACUCCUCCCUCUCACAGCUACGCUUGAAUAAGCAGGCUGAUGUUUGUGUUGAGACUGCUAUAAAUCUUUAAGAAAGUAGCCUAUUAAAAGGCUCUCUUUAGCUCACACAUCUCUAGUCAGAAGGGAAAGUGUUAUAUAAGAUGUGCUACUGCCAUAUUUGUACGGAUAAAUCUGGGGAAUUGCCUGCUGGAAAAAAAAAUUCGUGAGGAGUAAAUGAGGAUAUCUUUAGAUAAUCGCCUGUGUCUGAGACUCUCAAACAUGCCCCAGAAAUGUAUGUGAUAGUAAAACCUCCCACUUGAGCCCUGUGGAAGCGUGGCGGAAAGGCUGCCGCUACGCCAGAGUGGUGAGUUAUAUAACCGCGGACGCCCAGCGAAAGCCGUUUGCCAAACCUUUGCUUUUACGUAGUUCAGGCUCCAAGCUCUGAGCUCCUGCACUUCAUCAGACGAUCCAUUUGCCAUCCUUCCCAGACUGUACAUUGAAAGAGGGGCUGUAAUGUAGCUUCACAAAGUGAAAUGCAAAAUAAAUGAGACUGUACUUAACAGCCUUCUGGGAGGUGCUUAUCAGACCACAGACGUGUCUCACAUCCAUCGCUGGCUGUAAGGACGGCUCAGGACACUCAAUGUGACCACUGGAAAGCUGGGAACUUACCAGAUGAUAGUCCAAACACUUGUGGGGCCACGAGUUAGUGAUGAGAG